Molecule: non-coding RNA, 9406 nt
Organism: Caretta caretta (loggerhead turtle)
Lineage: Eukaryota; Metazoa; Chordata; Testudines; Cheloniidae
Source: RefSeq, a predicted model, not a curated record
CGCCCCCUCGCGCCCGGCCUGAGCGGGGGGAAGGGGGCCCCGGAGGCCGAGGGAUGGGGGGCCACGUGCUCCCGCGCGCCCCCGCGGCCCGCGCUGCCAUGGAGACGGAGCUGGGCCCCUGCCAGGCCCUGGGGCGCCCCGCGCCCCGCUGGGCACGUGCAGCGCUGAGCCCCGCAGCCGGGCGAGCAGCAGGCUGGCGCGGGCCGCCCUCGAGGACAGCGGGGAGCUGCCUCCAGCUACAGCUAGGGGCGGGCAGGGUCACCGCGGAGCACAGCACUGGGCCAGCAGACCAGGAGCCACGGUGACAGGCGCCCACACGGCUUCACGUCCGCCGGCCGGCGGAGCGGCGAGCAGCGAUGGGCCGCUGCGCCAAGGCCCCCCGGCAGCUCCCAUCAUCACGCCCCAGGGCCAGCGGCUCCGAAAGGAGAACGUCGGGCGCGAGGAGCCCUCUGCCCCGCCACCCUUCGUGAAUGCACCCCGCCGGGGGGAGGCGGGCUGCGGGCUACCCCUGCUCAGACUCCGCUCCUUCAAUGCCCCAGAAAGAGAAGGGACUUUCCGGUGCAGAAGCUGAGUUCUUAGCGGUGUGGGCGCUCUCCCAGCGCUGUAAGAAACCACCUCCGCCGGGGGGGAGCGACCAGCGCUGUCCACGCCGCCACGGCCAGCCCUGGAAACACCCCCGCGACGGCGGGCUCAGCGCUGCCGGCAGCGUAGGCGGGGCCUGCCCCACGCGCGCGAGGUCCGAGUGUUUUGGCCAGCAGUAGCCCUUGGUGCUCUGCAUGCCCCCCUUCCCACCCCCAGCUGAGGACAAAAGUGGGGAACAAGGUCGACCCACUCUCCGUUCCUGUGCUGGUGUAGAGUCCAGCUAGCGUUACAUGCCGCAGGAGCAGGGAAGGAGGGUGGGGCGUGGAAUACAGUUAGACAACAUGUCCUGAAGAACUCCAGUUACUGUACUGUACAGGAAGGUCGGUAUGGAAGCUGACACUACCAGUGCAGCUAUUUUCACAGAAGAAGAAAAGAGAGAAUCAGGCAGAGCUAAGCCAGUUAAAUCCACCACUGUGGUAAAUCUUGGUACCAGUAGUAAGAGGUUCAAGACAGUGGAUGAUGGCACCAGAAAUGUUGGCACAGGUGCAGAAAAUUCCAUGACUGAUUAUCACAAGAGUAUGUGAUGGUACUGGGCACUCCAUACCAAAGUCAGAGUGAACAUUAGGUGGUACUGGAGUUUUACUAACAGGGAGUGCCAGUACGACAUGGAUCACCCCUGAGCUAUCCUUUCAAAGUAGAGAGAAGGGAUCUCUCCCUUGCUGUCUUAGACCAUCCUUGGAAUGGAGACCCACAUCCGUGUUCCUCAAGGGAGGGGGGCUGUGACCUAUCCUUGUCAGACAAGGAGAAAGGCUUUACAGACACAGCAGCAGGGGAUUGUCUCAAAGCACUAAAGGGUGAUGCAAACAUAGUGCCUGCUGCAACGCUUUUGGAAGAGGACUUUGUAGAACUCAUCUGGUCUCGUUUUCCUGGGUCAGAAGCAGGACUCAUGGACUUGUCUUACAGAAACAUUUUAAGCAAGCAUCUGUCACUUUCAGGGACUGCUUGGAGAAUGAGUAUCCAUCAUUAAGAGGAAGUGCAGCCUCACAUGAUGAAUAAUGCUUAAACCCAAGGGAUUUCUGGUCAGCCAUAAGACUGAAUACCCCAUACCCGGUGAACAAAAUAGAAACAAGGUAGAAAAGUCACCCAGCUAAGACUUAUAAAAAAACCUGUCCUAGAUGCUAACACCCAGCUAACUACACUAAGGGCAGCUAUAUACAAAAACCUUAACUAGAUCGUAAGUGCAAGAGACAGGAACACUGCUCGACACUGUGUCUUUCAGCCACGGGUAGUAAGAAGGAACUGAGGGUCAGUUGGCCUCGCUCUGGCCUUUCUGCCCUGGGCUAGGUGAGGGCAUGCAGGGGUGGAGGCAGGGAACACAAGGCGCUGCUGGCCAAAGGAUUCUCUCCUCAAGCGCAGUUGCACCACAAGUGGAAUACUACAGACAGGAACCGGCAUUACUACCUCACAGCAGGACUAAUCACCACUUUUUAGAAAGGUGAGUUUACUCAGUGAGGAAGAGGGAAUAAUUCUCACACAUUUUACCUGCUUCUUAGUGACCUCCUCUGCCGUUUUCUGAUCCUCUCACUGCCUAAAUCCAACCUGCUUCUCAUCCUCUGUUGCCCUCCCCACGUCAAACCAGCCCCUCCCAAACUGCCUAAUUCCGUUCAUUCCUCCACCACUGUCCAAAAUGUCAUGACCAGCUGGUUCCUCAUUUGGUACUAGGCCUUGCAUGGUCAUAAUUUAAAAUCAUCAGACACCCCGCGGAACCUGUCCAAUCCAGUCCUUCCCAACCGUCACUCUCCCUCAAACCUGCUCUGUUCAAACCAGUGGUCUCUCCCCAUGCCAGUCUGCCCAGUUUAAACUGUUUCACUCCACCCUAGCCUACCCCCUUCAUACUCUUAAUCCCCACUCCAGUCACCCCUCCUAGCAUGCCCAAUUCAAACUGACAUUCCCAACUGUCACUUCUCCCUCCAUAUCAACUGACAUUCCCAACAACCCUUACACCCGAUUGCUGCUGCCACCCCAUUCCAAUGGCCAUUCCCAGCACCUGUCACUCCCCACCCAAUCCCACCUGCCAUGUCCAUUGCCACUCCCGCUCCUAACCUGCUCCAUCCCAACUGCCAAUCCCAACUGGCACUCCCUGUCCAGAUCAGACUGCCAGUCCCAAUUGUCACCCCGCAUCCCAUCUGCCAGUCCCAACUGUCACCCCCUCAUCCCAACUGCCAGUCCCAACUGUCACUCCCCGUCCAGAUCAGACUGCCAGUCCCCUGUCACCCCUCACCCCAUCUGCCAGUCCCAACUGUCACCCCCUCAUCCCAACUGCCAAUCCCAACUAUCACUCCCCGUCCAGAUCAGACUGCCAGUCCCCUGUCACCCCUCACCCCAUCUGCCAGUCCCAACUGUCACUCCCCUUCCAGAUCGGACUGCCAGUCCCAACUGUCACCCCUCACCCCAUCUGCCAGUCCCAACUGUCACCCCCUCAUCCCAACUGCCAAUCCCAACUAUCACUCCCCAUCCAGAUCAGACUGCCAGUCAAACUGUCACCCCUCACCCCAUCUGCCAGUCCCAACUGUCACUCCCCGUCCGAUCAGACUGCCAGUCCCAACUGUCACCCCCUCACCCAAUCUGCCAGUCCCAACUGUCACUCCCCUUCCAGAUCGGACUGCCAGUCCCAACUGUCACCCCUCACCCCAUCUGCCAGUCCCAACUGUCACCCCCUCAUCCCAACUGCCAGUCCCAACUGUCACUCCCCGUCCAGAUCAGACUGCCAGUCAAACUGUCACCCCUCACCCCAUCUGCCAGUCCCAACUGUCACCCCCUCAUCCCAACUGCCAAUCCCAACUAUCACUCCCCAUCCAGAUCAGACUGCCAGUCAAACUGUCACCCCUUACCCCAUCUGCCAGUCCCAACUGUCAGUCCCCGUCCGAUCAGACUGCCAGUCCCAACUGUCACCCCCUCACCCAAUCUGCCAGUCCCAACUGUCACCCCCUCAUCCCAACUGCCAAUUGCCAUCCAGAUUGGACUGCCAGUCCCAACCGUCACCCCCUCAUCCAACUGCCAGUCCCAACUGUCACUCCCCGUCCAGUUCAAACUGCCAAUCCCAACCCCAAAUCACCCAGUUCUAUCUGCAACUCCCAGUCUCUUCCCUCCCAAUCUGCUUCUUGCAAUCUCCACUCUCCAGCCUGUCUGCUUCCAACUGGCCACCUCAGACUUCCCGUAUCCCAACUGCCACAGAACCUUCUUGUUCCAAUAGCCCACCUCGUGCUCUUGCUAAAGGGGUAUCACCCAAAACACCUGCUGGCUAGGCCACUCCUUGUGCACCUGUUCCACAUGCUUUCUGCCCUCUGGAUUUUGCAAAGGGCCCCAAGAUGUUAGCUAGCGUGGAACUUUUGACUCCUCACCAAAUGACAGUAUCCCACUGGAGCUGAUCAAUGUGCUGUCAGAUAGCCUUGUUUUCCUCCACUCUGCCCUUGCCUUGGGGAACAAGAGUCCAGGGAAGCCGAACCCCAGGGGAUAUUUCAGUUUGAUUCCUUGGCGGUUUUGGUUAUACAAGGUGCAGUUUAGUGGGGCUGUACUGCAUGGACCAUACUGGACUUUCAUCAGGUUGGAUUCACAGCAUCUGAGAGUUGCUGAGACAGAAUGGGGAGGAACUGGUUCCAUACUAAGCUGUCACUUGUAAGUGGCACCAGUACCUAGGGAAUUCAGCAGUGUACUGGUUAAAUCAGUACACUGAACACUCAUCUGUGUUACCUAGGCUGAAGGAUCAAACUUCAAGCAGUUUGUUUCUGUAUUUUUAUUAGAGCUACUUCUACAUUUGGGUUUUUGAUAAAAGCUCUCAUGGAAGCCUUGUGUGCCUCAAGCAAUGAUUCAGAGAGGAAGCAGUUUAGUAUAUAAGGGAGGACAUUCCAGAUGUUGAAAGCAACCUGGAGCAAGGAGGUUAGAGGUCAAUGGGGAAAGGAUACUAGUGAAGCAUGUAGGAGAAAAGUCGUGGUGGAGCAUAGAGAGCAGUAAUGGGGAGCAAGAGGAAACCAGAUCAAAGAUGUACACGUGAGCUGAGUCAUGCAGAGCCCUGAAGAUGAAGACAAGAAUCAAAACUUGAUAUGGAAGGUGGGAGAAAUGACUCAAGCAGAAAGUGAAACAUCCUUGCAUUAGUAAGUAACCUCAUUCACUUCCUUGUCUCCUGGUGGCAUCAUGUAUCACAAACCUCUUUUGCCAGACCCACUGCUGGGCACUAUGCAAAAUGCAGAAGAAACCAUCUCUUGCCCCAAGGACGACGCAAUGUAAACUGAAGGGCCAUACAGAACAUACCGGGACACCGAGAGGAAAGGAUGAAUCUUGGCUGUUUUGACCACUCCACUGAAUCGUCUUCUGCUCUGGCUCUUUGGGGAAUGUGAUAGUGAAGAGGGGAACCUUAUGGUGUGACUUGAAGAUGUGCCACUCCCUCACCAGCAGGACCUGUUCUGUCCUUCCGAUAUAUUUUGUACCUUGGUAUUACUGUGUCCCAUUGAGUAUCCUCAUUCCACCAAGUUUCUGUGAUGCCUAUUAUAUCAAUCUCCUCAUUCAAUACGAGGCACUCUAGUUCACUCAUCUUAUUAUUUAGACUUCUAGCAUUUGUAUAUCAGCACUUUAAAAAAUUGACACUUUUUAGCUGUCUGCCGUUAUGUGAUGGAACUGAAUGGGACUUUUUCAUUUUCAUGGCUACCCGCAUGGCCCCACAGUAUGCCAACAUUUUUAUGGCUGACUUAGAACAACGCUUCCUCAGCUCUUGUCCCCUGACGCCCCUCCUCUACUUGCGCUACAUUGAUGACAUCUUCAUCACCUGGACCCAUGGGAAGGAGGACCUUGAGGAAUUCCACCAGGAUUUCAACAAUUUCCACUCCACCACUAACCUCAGCCUGGACCAGUCCAUACAAGAGAUCUACUUCCUAGACAUUACAGUUCUAAUAAGUGAUGGUCACAUAAACACCACCCUAUAUCGGAAACCUACUGACCACUAUUCCUACCUACAUGCCUCCAGCUUUCACCCAGACCACACCGCACAAUCCAUUGUCUACAGCCAAGCUCUAAGAUACAACCGCAUUUGCUCCAAUCCCUCAGACAGAGACAAACACCUACAGGAUUGUCAUGGAGUGUGGGGGAGUCAGGGCCCUGCACCCCUCUUCCUGGGAUUCACCGUUACUCUCAGCCAGUCAGUAAAACAGAAGGUUUAUUGGACAAUAGGAACACAGUCUAAAACAGAGCUUGUGGGUACAACCAGGACCCCUCAGUCAAGUCCUUCUCGGGGGCAGGGAGCUUAGACCCCAGCCUUGGGGUUCCCUGCUUUCUACCACCCAGCACAAAACUGAAACCAAAACCCCCCACAAGACUCUCUCCUCUAGCCUUUGUCCAGUUUCCGGGGCCAAGGUGUCACCUGGUCCCACCCCCUUCCUGGCUCAGGUCACAGGCUCAUCCCCUGCUAUCCCAUCCCCAAUGCCGACAGGCCCAGUAGAAUUAGACGACAUUCACCGGUCAAUCCACCCCACUUCCUACUGCGUCACAAGGAUCUCUAUCAAGUGUUCUUACAACUACAAUACCCACCUCUAACGUGAAGAAAUAGACUGACAGAGCCAGAAGACUACCCAGAAGUCACCUAUUACAGGACAGGCCCAACAAAGAAAGUAACAGAACGCCACUAGCCGUCACCUUCAGCCCCCAACUAAAACCUCUCCAACGCAUCAUCAAGGAUCUACAACCUAUCCUGAAGGAUGAUCCCGCAUUCUCACAGACCUUGGGAGACAGGCCAGUCCUUGCUUACAGACAGCCCCCCAACCUGAAACAAAUACUCACCAGCAACCACACACCACACAACAGAACCACUAACCCGGGAACCUAUCCUUGCAACAAACCCUGAUGCUUACUCUGUCUGCAUAUCUAUUCAGGGGACACCAUCAUAGGACCUAACCACAUCAGCCACACCAUCAGGGGCUCGUUCACCUGCACAUCUACCAAUGUGAUAUAUGCUAUCAUGUGCCAGCAAUGCCCUUCUGCCAUGUACAUUGGCUAAACCAGACAGUCUCUACGCAAAAGAAUAAAUGGACACAAAUCAGAUGUCAAGAAUUGUAACAUUCAAAAACCAGUAGGAAAGCAUUUCAAUCUCCCUGGACACUCAAUAACAGAUUUAAAAGUGGCCAUUCUUCAACAAAAAAAAAAUCUUCAAAAACAGAUUCUAACAUGAAACUGUAGAACUGGAAUAAAUUUGCAAACUGGACACCUUCAAAUUAGGCCUGAAUAAAGACUGGGAGUGGAUGGGUCACUAGAAUCAUAGAAUCAUAGAAUAUAAGGGUUGGGAGGGACCCCAGAAGGUCAUCUAGUCCAACCCCCUGCUCGAAGAAAAAGUAAUUAUCUCUCUGCUGAUACUCGUACUUUCUUGUCAACUGUUGGUAAUGGGCCACCUUAUUUGCAUUGGCCUUGUUAGCACUACAAAAGUAAUUUUCCCUCCCCUCCACCCCCACGAACAUGAUACAGUUCUGUGGUGACCUAGAAUCCUAUUUUCAAUGUCUCCGACUCAAGGAAUAUUUCCAAUAUACCUCUGAACAACAUACUAAUCCACAGAGACCUCCCUACCAACACAACAAAAAGAAGGAUUCUAGGUGGACUCCUCCUGAAGGUCGAAACAGCAGACUGGACUUCUACAUAGAGUGCUUCCGCCGACGUGCACGGGCUGAAAUUGUGGAAAAGCAGCAUCACUUGCCCCAUAACCUCAGCCGUGCAGAACACAAUGCCAUCCACAGCCUCAGAAACAACUCUGACCUCAUAAUCAAAAAGGCUGACAAAGGAGGUGCUGUUGUCAUCAUGAAUAGGUCGGAAUAUGAACAAGAGACUGCUUGGCAGCUCUCCAACACCACUUUCUACAAGCCAUUACCCUCUGAUCCCACUGAGAGUUACCAAAAGAAGCUACAGCAUUUGCUCAAGAAACUCCCUGAAAAAGCACAAGAUCAAAUCCGCACAGACACACCCCUGGAACCCCGACCUGGGAUAUUCUAUCUGCUACCCAAGAUCCAUAAACCUGGAAAUCCUGGGCACCCCAUCAUCUCAGGCAUUGUCACUCUGAGAGCAGGAUUGUCUGGCUAUAUAGACUCCCUCCUCAGGCCCUACGCUACCAGCACUCCCAGCUACCUUCGAGACACCACUGACUUCCUGAGGAAACUACAAUCCAUCGGUGAUCUUCCUGAUAACACCAUCCUGGCCACUAUGGAUGUAGAAGCCCUCUACACCAACAUUCCACACAAAGAUGGACUACAAGCCAUCAAGAACACUAUCCCCGAUAAUGUCACGGCUAACCUGGUGGCUGAACUUUGUGACUUUGUCCUCACCCAUAACUACUCCACAUUUGGAGACAAUGUAUACCUUCAGAUCAGCGGCACUGCUAUGGGUUCCCGCAUGGCCCCACAGUAUGCCAACAUUUUUAUGGCUGACUUAGAACAACGCUUCCUCAGCUCUCGUCCCCUAACACCCCUACUCUACUUGCGCUAUAUUGAUGACAUCUUCAUCAUCUGGACCCAUGGAAAAGAAGCCCUUGAGGAAUUCCACCAUGAUUUCAACAAUUUCCAUCCCACAUCAACCUCAGCCUGGUCCAGUCCACACAAGAGAUCCACUUCCUGGAUACUACAGUGCUAAUAAACGAUGGUCACAUAAACAUCACCCUAUACCGGAAACCCACUGACCGCUAUUCCUACCUACAUGCCUCCAGCUUUCACCCUGACCACACCACAUGAUCUGCGAUACAACCGCAUUUGCUCCAACCCCUCAGACAGAGACAAACACCUACAAGAUCUCUAUCAAGCAUUCUUACAACUACAAUACCCACCUGCGGAAGUGAAGAAACAGAUUGAUAGAGCCAGAAGAGUUCCCAGAAGUCACCUACUACAGGACAGGCCUAACAAAGAAAAUAACACAACGCCACUAGCCGUCACCUUCAGCCCCCAACUAAAACCCCUCCAACGCAUUAUUAAGGAUCUACAACCUAUCCUGAAGGAUGACCCAACACUCUCACAAAUCUUGGGAGACAGGCCAGUCCUCGCUUACAGACAGCCCCCGAAUCUGAAGCAAAUACUCACCAGCAACCACAUACCACACAACAGAACCACUAACCCAGGAACCUAUCCUUGCAACAAAGCCCAUUGCCAACUGUGCCCACAUAUCUAUUCAGGGGACACCAUCAUAGCGCCUAAUCACAUCAGCCACACUAUCAGGGGCUCGUUCACCUGCACAUACACCAAUGUGACAUAUGCCAUCAUGUGCCAGCAAUGCCCCUCUUCCAUGUACAUUGGUCAAACUGGACAGUCUCUACGUAAAAGAAUAAAUGGACACAAAUCAGAUGUCAAGAAUUAUAACAUUCAUAAACCAGUCGGAGAACACUUCAAUCUCCCUGGUCACGCGCUUACAGACACGAAAGUUGCGAUAUUACAACAAAAAAACUUCAAAUCCAGACUCCAGCGAGAAACUGUUGAAUUGGAAUUCAUUUGCAAAUUGGAUACAAUUAACUUAGGCUUGAAUAGAGACUGGGAGUGGCUAAGUCAUUAUGCAAGGUAACCUAUUUUCCCUUGUUUUUUCCUACCCCUCCCCCCCAGACGUUCUUGUUAAACCUGGAUUUGCGCUGGAAAUGGCUCACCUUGAUUAUCAUACACAUUGUAAGGAGAGUGGUCACUUUAGAUAAGCUAUUACCAGCAGGAGAAUGGGUUUGUGGGGGGUGGGGGGUGUGAGAAAACCUGGAUUUGUGCUGGAAAUGGCCCACCUUGAUUAUCAUACACAUUAGAUAAGCUGUUACCAGCAGGAGAGUGGGGUG